UACGGAGGGUGCAAGCGUUACUCGGAAUCACUGGGCGUAAAGAGCGCGUAGGCGGGAUAGCAAGUCAGAUGUGAAAUCCUAUGGCUUAACCAUAGAACUGCAUUUGAAACUGUUAUUCUAGAGUAUGGGAGAGGUAGGUGGAAUUCUUGGUGUAGCGGUGAAAUGCUUAGAGAUCAUACAGAACACCGAUUGCGAAGGCAGCUUACCAAGCUACUUCUGACGUUGAGGCACGAAAGCGUGGGGAGCAAACAGG
Molecule: ribosomal RNA, 253 nt
Filed under: uncultured Helicobacteraceae bacterium
Lineage: Bacteria; Pseudomonadati; Campylobacterota; Epsilonproteobacteria; Campylobacterales; Helicobacteraceae
Description: partial 16S ribosomal RNA
Rfam family: Bacterial small subunit ribosomal RNA
Source: RNAcentral